RNAcentral lists this long non-coding RNA (626 nucleotides) under Androctonus crassicauda. The record is from RNAcentral. Lineage: Eukaryota; Metazoa; Arthropoda; Arachnida; Scorpiones; Buthidae.
GCCAUCUAGUAAUUAAUACUUAGAUAUAAUUUAAAUUAAUUUGAAACUAACAAAGGGAAGUUACAGUUAAAGAAAAUCAGUAUUGAAGACUAAGAAAGACAAAAAAUCACUAUUGAUAUAUUCUUAAUGAUUGUGUCACAAUCACAAGCAUUCUACUAUGUAUCUUCCCCUUUGCACAUCUUUUUAUCCAUUAGAUGAAGCAUUUCACACACCUUUCUCUCAAAUAUUCUCCAAUUAUAGAUCUCUGUUUUCAUAUCCAUAUUUCUCUCCAGAAGAUUCGUCCUCAAAAUUAGUGAUGUGUAUCUAUCUAAAUUUCAUCAUUCCUGUGUUUACAAUCUCUCGCAGUUACUUGCCUCAUCAUUGUCAUUCACUUCAAUGCCAUUGUAACUACUAACCAAUCAUUUCACACCAUUUCCCUUCACACAAACUCAGCCAUUCAGAUCAUAUCAUAGUCAUUUAUUACUGUGGCAUUCAUUAUUCAUACCAUCCACAGCAGCAGUCUCAAAAUAAUUUUCUUCGAAGUGCCACUUUUAGUCAUCAUUGGUUGUUGGGGAACUGUAUUUAAAAUUAGCCUUAUAAUAAUAAUAAUAAUAAUAAUAGUGAUUUUUGUAUAAGGUAAAUUGUCC